GGAGGUGGAGGUUGCAGUGAGCUGAGAUCGCGCCAUUGCACACUCUAGCCUGGGCAACAAAAGCAAAACUCCGUCUCAAAAAAUAAAAAAGAACCCUAGACCCAACUUGCUCUAGGAGGCAGAAGUGAAAUGGCCUCGAAGCCUACAGAUAAAUCCUGCCUCUACCAUUUACCAGCUGGGUGACCUUGGGCAGUUUGCUUGACCUCUCUGAGCCUUUAUUUCCUUGUGGACAAUUUGGGCAUGACAGUGGCAUCUACUGGCAUGAACAAGGUUGCUGAGAGGGCUGCCAUGAGGGGCGUGGCCCAGCAGUUCCCACCACGCUGAGCACAUGGCAGGAGUUAAGGGAAUGGAAGGCAACCCAGAAGAACCCAUGACCCCUGAGAAAGGCUUGCGGAAGAAGAUGGGCAGGGAGAGGUUUGGGAGGGGACCUGGUGGGAUUUGGGGAGUCCUCAGAACUGACAUAGGGAGGCCUUACUCAAGAUCCAGCCACCUGCCAGGCGCAGUGGCUCACGCCUGUAAUCCCAGCACUUUAGGAGGCCGAGGCGAGUGGAUUGCCUGAGGUCAGGAGUUCAAGACCAGCCUGGCCCACAUGGUGAAACCUGUCUGUAUUAAAAAUACAAAAAUCAGCCAGGUGUGGUGAUGGACACCUGUAAUCCCAGCUACUCGGGAGCCUGAGGUAGGAGAAUCGCUUGAACCCAGGAGGCGAAGGUUGCAGUGAGCCGAGAUUGUGCCAUUGCACUCCAGCCUGGGUGACAGAGCAAGACUUCGUCUCAAAACAAAAACACAAAAACAAACAAAAAACAGCUACCAGGGUAAAAGCUGAGCCGGCGGGCCCUGCCUUGACUCGGAGUCCUGACUGUCCCCAGAUGAAGCGCCCUCAGUUCAGCAAGCCGCCAGGAGGCCACCACAAGACCCAGCGCUCAGGAAGGAGAAGGAUCCCCAGCCACAGCAGUUGCCACCCAUGGACCCAAAGUUGCUGAAGCAGCUGAGGAAGGCAGAGAAGGCCGAGAGGGAGUUCCGGAAGAAGUUCAAGUUUGAAGGGGAGAUCGUGGUUCACACGAAGAUGAUGAUCGACCCCAACGCUAAGACACGUCGCGGGGGUGGCAAGCACCUCGGGAUCCGGCGCGGGGAGAUCCUGGAGGUGAUCGAGUUCACCAGCAAUGAGGAGAUGCUGUGCCGGGACCCCAAAGGCAAAUAUGGCUACGUGCCCAGAACAGCGCUCCUGCCCCUGGAGACGGAGGUGUACGAUGAUGUCGACUUCUGCGACCCCCUGGAAAACCAACCACUCCCCCUGGGACGGUAAGACCGGUAGGCAUGGGGCCAGGACAGCCGCCAGCCCAGCGCCCGCUCACCCAGGAGCCCUGGAUCCCAGCACUGGAAAGUCACAGAGCUGCCCGGACUUGUAC
Molecule: small RNA, 1406 nt
Filed under: Pan troglodytes (chimpanzee)
Lineage: Eukaryota; Metazoa; Chordata; Mammalia; Primates; Hominidae
Description: retained intron
Source: RNAcentral